AGAUUUGGGGUGUUUUUGGGGUGUUUUAGGGUGUUUUUGGGGUGUUUCUGGGUGUUUUUGGGGUGUUUUUGGGUGAUUUUGCCCAUUUUUGGGGUGAUUUUGGGUGAUUUGGGGUGUUUUUGGCAGGAAUGGGAGCAGCGGCGGCUGCAGAACAUCGAGCAGAUGAACGAGGAGAUUUGGGGUGUUUUUGGGGUGUUUUUUGGGGUGUUUUUUGGUUGUUUCUGGGUGGUUUUGGGGUGUUUCUGGGUGAUUUCUGGGUGUUUUUGGGGUGUUUCUGGCUGUUUUUGGGGUGUUUCUGGCUGUUUUUGGGGUGUUUCUGGGUGAUUUUUGGGUGUUUUGGGGUGUUUUUGGGUGAUUUGGGGUGUUUUUGGCAGGAAUGGGAGCAGCGGCGGCUGCAGAACAUCGAGCAGAUGAACGAGGAGAUGCAGAAAAUCGCUGAGUACGAGCGGAGCUGCAGGGACGGCUUCCCGGAUCCCAGCCCCAACCCCAGUGCUCCCAGUUCACUCCCAGUCCAUUCCCAGUCCAUUCCCAGUCCAUUCCCAGUUCAUUCACAGUUUGUUUCCCCGUUCCAGGACGGGUUCCCGGAUCCCAGCCCCAAUCCCAGUGCUCCCAGUCCCUCCCAGUUCAUUCCCAGUUUGUUUCUCCCCGUUCCAGGACGGGUUCCCGGAUCCCAGCCCCAAUCCCAGUGCUCCCAGUCCAUUCCCAGUCACUCCCAGUUUGUUUUUCCCCGUUCCAGGACGGGUUCCCGGAUCCCAGCCCCAAUCCCAGUGCUCCCAGUUCAUUCCCAGUCCAUUCCCAGUCCAUUCCCAGUCCAUUCCCAGUGCUCCCAGUCCAUUCCCAGUUCACUCCCAGUCCAUUCCCAGUCACUCCCAGUGCUCCCAGUCCAUUCCCAGUUCACUCCCAGUUCAUUCCCAGUCACUCCCAGUCCAUUCCCAGUCCAUUCCCAGUCCAUUCCCAGUCCAUUCCCAGUUCAUUCCCAGUCCAUUCCCAGUCCAUUCCCAGUUCAUUCCCAGUCCAUUCCCAGUCCCUCCCAGUCCAUUCCCAGUUCACUCCCAGUGCUCCCAGUCCAUUCCCAGUUCACUCCCAGUUCAUUCCCAGUCACUCCNNNNNNNNNNNNNNNNNNNNCUCCCGGAGGCGCGGCCGGAACUGGGGGGGAGCCGAGCUCGGCAAAGCCACGGUGGGGACCCCGAAAUUCCCGGAAUUCCCAAAUUUCCCAAAAUUCCCAAAUCCUGAAAUCCCCAAAUCCCAAUUCCUGA
RNAcentral lists this long non-coding RNA (1256 nucleotides) under Cyanistes caeruleus (blue tit). RNAcentral describes it as "lncRNA (ENSCCEG00000005821.1)". Lineage: Eukaryota; Metazoa; Chordata; Aves; Passeriformes; Paridae. The record is from RNAcentral.